This is a long non-coding RNA of Vitis vinifera (wine grape), 1486 nucleotides long. RefSeq lists it as uncharacterized. The record is from RefSeq and is a predicted model, not a curated record. NCBI's taxonomy places the organism in Eukaryota, Viridiplantae, Streptophyta, Magnoliopsida, Vitales, Vitaceae. The transcript has 2 exons.
GGAGGUACCUAUCCAGUGGACCAUUUUCAGAUAGGGUCUUGUAGACCCCCCUGGAGGCAGAGAUUUUUUUAUUUGGAUUUAUUUUAUUUCUUUUCCUUUUCCUACCUUUUUCCCGGGGCUCGACAUGAUGGUCAGGAGCUGGUUUUUGGGGCAGAGAGGGGACUCAAGUGGGCGGCUCUCGGGGGGCAGAUUGGACGGGAUACGACUGGCUUGCUGAGGAAGACAGGAACAGAAGAAAAACAGAGGAGAAAAGAAGAAAAGGGAAGGGAGGAAGGAGGACUUUUGGGCAGCAGAGGACGUCCGCAAGAGGAUCCGCCGAGAGAGAAGAAAGGAAAGUUUUAUGGUCGCCAUUUGGUCUAUGAAUUCAUUGUGGCUAGCUCGUUUAUUUUCCUCGGGAUGAUUUGAGAGCAACUCGGCUCUGUUUCUGUUGCACUAUACUUCAUGGGAGAGUUUUGUUUUUGUCCUCGCUCCCGUGGAAUGCAUCCGGAUCCACCCACCUACAGCGAAGCCCAUGGAUCCAAGCGCGAAACAUAGGUUUGUUUGCCUUAGUUGUUUGGUCAGCUGGUGCCCUCCUUUUUAUUUUCUUGUAGUUUCCUCUCCUUCCCCUGUUUCUGAUGUCCAUCUAAGGGGAGCCAGGCAAUGGAUUUAAAUCGAUAAAAGGGUUCUGGACCCAUCAAACUUGAGGAAUCAGUUGCCCAGACAUUUCGUUGUCGGAGAGAAUACCAACCCCGAAGUCGAGAGUGCCUUGAAGGAUCCAUACUUGAACCCUGCCCUUCAAGCGGACGUCACUGGCACUCGAAAGGCUGCUGCCAUGCAUAUCCCCAACAGUCCCUUUUGUUCAGCAGCCCCAUAGCCGUGCACCCAUGUUCCCGGCAUGGCCGUUACCCUCACCUUUCUUCCCCAUCACCUUUUCUUCCUCUAGUCGCCAUACCCAUUUCCGCAAGGGCUCCCAAAGCCACUCUUCUGCACGCGUGGGAUCCAAGCAGGCAAGCUGCCUCCGCCAUCUCCCUCCUCAUUAUUCGCCAUCGCCCUCGCCGUCUCCAUCGGCGGCACGUCUGCCAGAGGCCCGGAGAGCUUCGCAACUUUCCAUGCACGCCGGCCUUCCCUCCCUGCGUCUUCUUGCUGUGCGCACCACGUCGGCGAGGCGCUGGCUCGCCUCACCAACCGCCAUCACCCGCUCCGGCUAGGUGAGCACUCGCAUCAGCCACCAUGACGACGACACUUUCUGGAUACCGUCGAACCGCUGCCACGGCUCCUCUCUCCACCUUGCUGCUGGCCAUGAAGGCUUCCUCUGAGGAUGGUGUGCGUUUAGAGGGGGGUAAGCUAGGAAGAAGAUGGAGUUUCGGGCUUGGGUUUGGGAUGGGUUUUUGAGCCCGCCCAUGGUAGCUUUGGAUUUGGGUUGGAGCACCAAGCCCAAGUUUGUGAACAAGUAAGCCCUCCAGGCUGCCCAAUUCCUAAAUAAUCAUUUUUUUAAAAAUAAAACAAA